Molecule: long non-coding RNA, 816 nt
Organism: Daphnia pulex (common water flea)
Lineage: Eukaryota; Metazoa; Arthropoda; Branchiopoda; Diplostraca; Daphniidae
Exons: 7
Source: RefSeq, a predicted model, not a curated record
CGUUAAAAACGUUUUAUGAUGUUUUCAUCAUUUUCUGGUUUUUCUGUGUUAGUUUCUCUCCAAAGUUUAUGUUUAAUUAAAUUAAUUAAAUGACUUCCAAGUGCACACAGAAAGCUUUGUGCAUUCCAUUUCCAUGCAUCAUGUAAGAAAUGAAACAUCAUGGAAUUCACCUUCAUUACAUCAUUACAUUAUAUAAAUCUUCUGCUGUAAAUUUCCUGCACGAAGGUGUAUCACUAUUCCUAUGGAAUGGAAUAACAUCUAAACCAAAAAAAAAAUCUCCAAAUCUGCCUACUACAUACGUUAAUAAGAAUUCACACAAUAUUUCUGUCAAGAAAGGAAAUUUAAAGUUGUGAUAAUGUGUCACCCAGUGUCACCAACUUCAGCAAGUAGGCUAUUCCUAUUCUUAUGUGAAGCCAGUUCUUACAGUUAUAAUCGUCCUGGGUUUCGUUAGCAUUGCGCCUUUCUUUAUCGGAAAUUUUUUCCCGUUGUCAACGUUACUCAAUGGUGUACAUUCUCAUUUAUAGUUCACCAACAUAUGACUUCAAGUCUUCGACAAGGAGAUGUAAACUUGUGUGGCGAUGGCAAACGAAAUUUAAUCGACGACUCAUUCAAACAACGUACAACGUGGAACAUCGCUCAGUAAAUUGCACCAACAGAUUACUUUGACAAGGAGACGCAAAACGAAAAUCGACGACUCAUAUCACCGUGGAACAUCUUUGGUAUUAUUGUUUUGUUAGUUAACCCGUUGGCUGCCACGCCUUUGUUCUCCCCUUGUAGCUCCUUAGCACGGGCCGCGCUGUUCGGUCUCGUGGUUUA